This 465-nucleotide ribosomal RNA is filed under the name Vreelandella stevensii. RNAcentral's name for it is "partial 16S ribosomal RNA". It matches the Rfam family "Bacterial small subunit ribosomal RNA", at positions 338 to 795 of the family's 1533-position model. The record is from RNAcentral. Lineage: Bacteria; Pseudomonadati; Pseudomonadota; Gammaproteobacteria; Oceanospirillales; Halomonadaceae.
CCUACGGGGCGCUGCAGUGGGGAAUAUUGGACAAUGGGCGAAAGCCUGAUCCAGCCAUGCCGCGUGUGUGAAGAAGGCCUUCGGGUUGUAAAGCACUUUCAGUGGGGAAGAAAGCCUUGGGGCUAAUACCCUCGAGGAAGGACAUCACCCACAGAAGAAGCACCGGCUAACUCCGUGCCAGCAGCCGCGGUAAUACGGAGGGUGCGAGCGUUAAUCGGAAUUACUGGGCGUAAAGCGCGCGUAGGCGGUCUGAUAAGCCGGUUGUGAAAGCCCCGGGCUCAACCUGGGAACGGCAUCCGGAACUGUCAGGCUAGAGUGCAGGAGAGGAAGGUAGAAUUCCCGGUGUAGCGGUGAAAUGCGUAGAGAUCGGGAGGAAUACCAGUGGCGAAGGCGGCCUUCUGGACUGACACUGACGCUGAGGUGCGAAAGCGUGGGUAGCAAACAGGAUUAGAUACCCUGGUAGUC